AGAGAGAGACAUGCGUGCAUAUCAAUAAGCGGAGGAAAAGAAACUAACAAGGAUUCCCCUAGUAACGGCGAGUGAAGCGGGAAGAGCUCAAAUUUGAAAUCUUAAAGGGUUUCCCUUUACGAAUUGUAGUUUAAAGAAGUGUUUUCUGUUGAGGUUUUGGUAAAAGUUCUUUGGAAUAGGACAUCAUAGAGGGUGAGAAUCCCGUAUUUGACCUUUACUUUCAACUUUGUGAUACACUUUCAAAGAGUCGGAUUGUUUGGGAAUGCAGUCCAAAAUGGGUGGUAAAUUUCAUCUAAAGCUAAAUAUUGGCGAGAGACCGAUAGCGAACAAGUACCGUGAGGGAAAGAUGAAAAGAACUUUGAAAAGAGAGUUAAACAGUACGUGAAAUUGUCAAAAGGGAAGCGUUUGACACCAGUGUUGUUUUUCUGAAAAUCAAUUAAAGAACUGUUUAUGCUAAGCUUGUUUAGACUUUAUCAGCUAACUGUUUAGUUUUGAGCUUUUCUUUAAUGCACUUUUCAGUUAACAAGUCAACAUCAAUUUCUUUUGCUGUAAAAAAGCUUGAGGAAGGUGGCUUGAGAUUCGUCUUAAGUGUUUAUAGCCUCUUGCCUAUGCAGUCGGAGAGAUUGAGGUUUGCAGCGUAGAUCCUUCGGGGCUAAAUGCAUUUGUGCUAAGUUAUAACAUUUUAUAGACAACUUGUUGACUAUGAUUUGUCUUGUAGCUUACUCGCUUAUGUUAUUUUACCUACGCUUAGGAUGUUGAGCGCAUGUCUCUCUCU
Molecule: ribosomal RNA, 775 nt
Filed under: uncultured Neocallimastigales
Lineage: Eukaryota; Fungi; Neocallimastigomycota; Neocallimastigomycetes; Neocallimastigales
Description: partial large subunit ribosomal RNA
Rfam family: Eukaryotic large subunit ribosomal RNA
Source: RNAcentral